This 934-nucleotide ribosomal RNA is filed under the name Lacticaseibacillus casei. Its description in RNAcentral is "bacterial SSU rRNA". It matches the Rfam family "Bacterial small subunit ribosomal RNA", at positions 562 to 1492 of the family's 1533-position model. The record is from RNAcentral. Lineage: Bacteria; Bacillati; Bacillota; Bacilli; Lactobacillales; Lactobacillaceae.
AAAGCGAGCGCAGGCCGUUUUUUAAGUCUGAUGUGAAAGCCCUCGGCUUAACCGAGGAAGCGCAUCGGAAAACUGGGAAACUUGAGUGCAGAAGAGGACAGUGGAACUCCAUGUGUAGCGGUGAAAUGCGUAGAUAUAUGGAAGAACACCAGUGGCGAAGGCGGCUGUCUGGUCUGUAACUGACGCUGAGGCUCGAAAGCAUGGGUAGCGAACAGGAUUAGAUACCCUGGUAGUCCAUGCCGUAAACGAUGAAUGCUAGGUGUUGGAGGGUUUCCGCCCUUCAGUGCCGCAGCUAACGCAUUAAGCAUUCCGCCUGGGGAGUACGACCGCAAGGUUGAAACUCAAAGGAAUUGACGGGGGCCCGCACAAGCGGUGGAGCAUGUGGUUUAAUUCGAAGCAACGCGAAGAACCUUACCAGGUCUUGACAUCUUUUGAUCACCUGAGAGAUCAGGUUUCCCCUUCGGGGGCAAAAUGACAGGUGGUGCAUGGUUGUCGUCAGCUCGUGUCGUGAGAUGUUGGGUUAAGUCCCGCAACGAGCGCAACCCUUAUGACUAGUUGCCAGCAUUUAGUUGGGCACUCUAGUAAGACUGCCGGUGACAAACCGGAGGAAGGUGGGGAUGACGUCAAAUCAUCAUGCCCCUUAUGACCUGGGCUACACACGUGCUACAAUGGAUGGUACAACGAGUUGCGAGACCGCGAGGUCAAGCUAAUCUCUUAAAGCCAUUCUCAGUUCGGACUGUAGGCUGCAACUCGCCUACACGAAGUCGGAAUCGCUAGUAAUCGCGGAUCAGCACGCCGCGGUGAAUACGUUCCCGGGCCUUGUACACACCGCCCGUCACACCAUGAGAGUUUGUAACACCCGAAGCCGGUGGCGUAACUGAGUUAGGGAUCCAGCCCUCUAAGGUGGGACAACCGAGUAGGGACAAUUAAUUAC